This 21-nucleotide non-coding RNA is filed under the name Caenorhabditis elegans. The record is from RNAcentral. Lineage: Eukaryota; Metazoa; Nematoda; Chromadorea; Rhabditida; Rhabditidae.
UUAAUUUUGCGAGUAGAAAAU